UACGUAGGCAGCAAGCGUUGUUCGGAGUUACUGGGCGUAAAGAGUGCGUAGGCGGUGCCCUAAGUCUGUUGUGAAAUCUCCCGGCUUAACUGGGAGGGUGCGGUGGAAACUGGGGUGCUUGAGUGCGGGAGAGGUAAGCGGAAUUCCUGGUGUAGCGGUGAAAUGCGUAGAUAUCAGGAGGAACGCCGGCGGUGUAGACGGCUUACUGGACCGCGACUGACGCUGAGGCACGAAAGCGUGGGUAG
RNAcentral lists this ribosomal RNA (245 nucleotides) under uncultured bacterium. RNAcentral's name for it is "partial 16S ribosomal RNA". It matches the Rfam family "Bacterial small subunit ribosomal RNA", at positions 524 to 768 of the family's 1533-position model. The record is from RNAcentral.